AAGAGGUUUGGUAUCCGUAGCGUCACGGACGAACGCUGGCGGCGUGCUUAACACAUGCAAGUCGAACGAUGAAGCCUAGCUUGCUAGGUGGAUUAGUGGCGAACGGGUGAGUAAUACGUGAGUAACCUACCUUUAACUCUGGGAUAAGCCUGGGAAACUGGGUCUAAUACCGGAUACGACCAAUCUCCGCAUGGGGUGUUGGUGGAAAGCGUUAUGUAGUGGUUAUAGAUGGGCUCACGGCCUAUCAGCUUGUUGGUGAGGUAACGGCUCACCAAGGCGACGACGGGUAGCCGGCCUGAGAGGGUGACCGGCCACACUGGGACUGAGACACAGCCCAGACUCCUACGGGAGGCAGCAGUGGGGAAUAUUGCACAAUGGGCGCAAGCCUGAUGCAGCGACGCCGCGUGAGGGAUGACGGCCUUCGGGUUGUAAACCUCUGUUAGCAGGGAAGAAGAGAGAUUGACGGUACCUGCAGAGAAAGCGCCGGCUAACUACGUG
Molecule: ribosomal RNA, 498 nt
Filed under: uncultured Rothia sp.
Lineage: Bacteria; Bacillati; Actinomycetota; Actinomycetes; Micrococcales; Micrococcaceae
Description: bacterial SSU rRNA
Rfam family: Bacterial small subunit ribosomal RNA
Source: RNAcentral